UGGCAACAGAGAAAAACUCCAUCUCAAAAAAAAAAAAAAAAAAAAAAAAAACCAGAAAAGGACAACGGGCAGUGCCCUGGGGCAGGGGAACUGAGGCAAAAGGGUAGGGAUUGCAACCCCUCUGCUUUCUCAUUUCCCAGAGACGUGGUCUUGGAUAUCCAAGGAAUGAAUGAAUUCUCAGGUGCUUGCUCCUGCCGGGCACUUCACAUUGGAUGUCUUUGGACUUGACAGCAGCCCUCUGAGAUACCAUUAUCUCCAUUCUGCUGAUGAAGAGCAGGCACAGCGAGAUUACCUGUAUUGUCAGAGGACACACAGCUAGGUUGGAACACAGGGGAAGUGCUACCGGCAUCUAAUGGGGAGAGGCUGUGGAUGCUGUCAAGCCUCCAUCGGUGCACAGGACCAGCAUCCACAACAAAGAAUUAUCCAACCCCAAAUGUCAAUAAUGCCAAGCCUGAGAAUACCGGAUUAAGGUGAAAGCAGGCUCUCGAAGUGUUUUGAGUGGAAGUGUGUUAGGGGCUGAAAAGUUACAAACUAUAUCCAGAAACUUCAAUAAAGGUAUUUCCUUCUGAUGUGCCAUCAUUCCUGGCUCAAAAUUCACUUUCUUUCUACAUUUUCUAUAUUCAGUAGAUAUGCUGUGUCUGCGAGCCAGGCCUAUUGGUGCCUGUUCUGUGGUGAGCAGGCGCCAAUAGGUGACAAGGCAGGCAAGAGAGAGUGUCCCCGGACCUAAGAAACCACGCUGUGGACCCAAAGCCACCUGGAAAAGACUCAUGGGAUGUGGGACAUCACUCAAGGCUCAAGGUCAGCCUGGGGUCCAACAGUAAGGAUAAGAACCAGGACAGCAGGUUCCAGAAAGCCAAGUCCCUUCAUAAGAGGUCAACCUGACCUAAACAGACACCUUUUUUAAAAAAAUAUUAUUAUUAUUGUUAUUUCUCUAAGCCUUCUUAGCAUUUGCAGUGUAUCCUGGGGGAACUUGCAGUUUUCAGAGACAGACUCAUGAAUAAAAAUGAGUUGUGUAAAUUCCUGUAUUGAGAGUAUUUGCCAAGUGCUGCAGGGCUCCAGAGGAGGUGACGGGCACCUUGGCCUGGAGAAACAGAGGAGGGUGAAGGUUUCUGGGUAAGUCACUGCUGGAAACUAGAAGGUGAAGGGAGAGUCCAGGCAGAGGGAAGAGCAUGGUGGGAGGCAAAGGUACCAGCAGGCAGAGGCAGGCAGGGUAGGAGUGUGCUAUGGGCAGGGCAGGGAGGCGGGAGGUGCGGUGAGGGGAAGACCACAGGGAACUCCCCAGAAAGCAGAGAAUUGGGUGCCUCCUGCGAGUGUCCACUGUGGUUUCCAGCGAGAAUCUCUCCAAAAGAAGAAAGAUGUGCUGUCCUGGCAGGAAGGCGGAGACAUUCAUUUCCAGUCCCUCUGUGGUAGGGUAGGGGUGACCCUCUCUCCAAGAGGUAUGAUAAAGCCAGUGUCCCCAUUAGCAUCAAAAUAGAGAAGAUAGUUCCUUCAUUAAAAAAGCAAAUUUUGCUGGCACUAGAUACCCUUUACAGAGGGCCGGGCUCUGGGAGCCUCCCUGCCUGGGUUCCCAUCCCAGCUUCUGGGGUUCCUCUGUGUGCAGUCUGGGGUAGUUAACUUAAUUUCUCUGUACUGCAGUUCCCUAUCUGUAAAAUGAGUAGAUUAAUUGUUCCUGCAUCCAUAGGUGUUUUAUGAGUUUAAAUGAUUUAGUGCAAAUAAAGUGCCUGGAAUGGUGCCUAGAAUGUAGUAAAUUCUCAGAAUUAACCAGUGUUACUCUCUUUUUACCAUUUAGGGACAGCAGAGGAAAGGGCUUUAAGAGAGUGUCAUGUUCUAGAGCUGAACUUGUGAACUUGCACCUAGGUGUGCUGCAAUUGGCUGACAGGUGUGCUUUUUAAAAAAUUGAAUUUGAAUGCCUUUGCGUGGAGCUGGCAUGAUCCAUGAUUCGUCAUAGUCCAUCCUCUACCCCACCCCCUUGUCCCAAGCCUGUCCAGCAUCACACAUGCAGUGUCCCCUGCACUUGGCUGCCUAAACAUGAGAGCAGAGGACACUGGCAAUUGCAUUAAGUGGAGAGAAGUUACAGGAGGAACAUUGGCAGGAUUAGCCACAAACUGAGUCAGCUGUCAUGCCACACACUUGGUGAGAGCCCUGCUUAUAAAGCAGCUGUGAAUUUCACAUGUUGGGUUCAGCCUGGGAGCUUAUUGAUGAUCACUUUCUAUGGCCAGAGGGGCAUCCUGCAAGCUUCUCUCUCCAGGAGACAAGCUGCAUCCAGGUCCAACCUUCCUCUCAGACCUGCGUCUGCACUGCUAGCACAGCCUCCUCCUUCCUACGCCUCCACCUGACCUGGUCCUAUAACUGUGACAUUGCCCCUUACAGCCACCCAGUGGUAGACACUCCAAGGCAGGCAAGAGAAGCAGCCUGCUUUCCCUGGCACUCACCAGCCCGAAGAGCUGUGCUAGUGGUAGAGUAAGGAAAGAACCCUGGCCUCAGAGGUAAAAGACCUCACUGAAGUGUGACCUUGGUCAGGUCACUGAGCCCUGCAGUCCUCUUCCUUGUCUAUAACCCCUGGGGUACUGUGUUGCUUGCAGCACCUCCUUGGUUAUUGGGUUGUUAGAGAGAGGCAGUGUUUGUACUGGUGCCUUAUUAUUAUUAUUUUUAAUGUUACUCUGCAAAUGAUGGACAUUCAAAAUAAUUAGCAAUGCUGCAUUAUUUCUUGAAGUUGUGGCCAACCAUCCACAGCCUGGGCUAGAAAGCAGGAAUGGGGAUGUCGAUUGUGGUGAGGGUCCCAAAUUGUACUGGGGAGAAGAUAGAUGGAAGCAAAGAAACUCUAUACACAGAGGAUUUCAAAGAGUUAGUACCAAAAAGACUGUAAAAUAUCUUAAUAACGUUUGUAUUGACCAUGUGUUGAAAUGACAUUUCAGAUAUUUUGGAUUAAAUAAAAUAUUAAAUGUUUAUUAAAAUUAAUUUUGCAUGUUUCUACUUUUAAGUGUAGCUUUUUUUUUUAAUAUAGUAGAAAAUGUGCAGCAUAUUUCACUUUAGACCAGCUGCAUUGCAAGUGCUCACUGCUCACAUGUGGCUAUCAUUGGACAACACAGCUAUAACCAUAUACAAAUUGCAUUCUGUACGUGCCAUUGGACUUCAAGACUUUUUCCUCCUUCUCCUUGGAGUAGCCUCAACUCUAACUUCUUUCUCUGGAUAAUUCCUGUUCAUCCUUCAGAGCAAGGUCUAGCAUCAAAUUCUCUUGGAAGAGUUUUCUGACCCCUUAGUCUGGGGCCCCUUUUCCACAGCUCCUGAUGAUCGGCACAUAGCCUGGGGCACACGGAUAGUUUAUAGGAACAGUGGGAGAGAAUACUUGAAAUGGAGUGUUUCCAGAUCAGAUCUGUGUUGUAGGAUUUUUCCUGUCCAAGUGGCAUAGUCCUCAAAUGAAAAAGUUUGAGAAAACGCUUUAAACAUUUCAUCCUGCUGUAGACAGGUUCAGUGUGACUAUAAAGGUUAUGAAUGGGAAUCCAAAGAAACAUUUGCAGAAUCAUACUUACUUUCUACCCCAAUUCUGUAGGAUCACCGUGUCUGUGAUUGGCUGUCAGUUACAAGCAGUGAUUUUUCUCUAUGUUCAUAGCUUAAUAGACUUCUGGAUCUGGGUGAUUUUUAAUGGAGCUUAUUUUUAGGUGCAUCUGAUCACAUGAUUUGGUAAAUAUUGGACCCAGAAACUGAUGGAAAAAACAAAUCCCACAUGAAUUUGUUGUGCCCUUUAUUGUAUAGUAGAGAGAUGAAAAUGAGAUAGGGAGACAUAAGGAAAUGCUAUUGUUACAUUUAAAAAUGGCAGCUUUACACAUGUAAAUGACUAGGAUUGGCUAUUGUCGCCUUCACAGCAACUGAGUUGGGUUUGAGUUCCUGUUCCUGUGGCUGCAAGGACUUUGCCACAUUACCCAAUCUUAAUUUGUCUCUGUCUCCUUAUCUUCCACUGGGCAUAGUGACCAUCUGAUAGUGUGACUGUAAAUAGGUAGAAAUGAGAUAACACAUCUAGUAGUUAGAAUCUGUUAACCUCCAGUUAAGUCAAGUUUUUGCUAUUCUUUUUAGUUAUUCACUUAUAGUUUUGUUAAGUAAUGGUUCUCUAUGGUCUUUUUAAAAAUCUAGUUAUCAAGGACUAAUAAAGGAGCAUUAAAUUUACCCAUAUGGUGUUGUCCUCCUCAGUUUCUCUUUGUUCUAAUUUUUAGAUGGUGUUUGUUUUAUAAAAUAUUCAUCCUUUACAGUGUAUCUUAAAUGUACCUGACCUUGUUUGCUCCUGUUACCAUUUUUUUUUCAAUUUUUAAGGGUCUAAUUUAUUGAGGUAUUACUUACAUGCAAUAAAAUUUACCCCUUUAAGUGUAGGACUUGAUGAAUUUUGAUAAACAUGUACAGUUGUGUAAACACCAAAAUGGGGAGUUGUCCAAGUGGUAUAAAGUGAUGGUUAUGCAAGAUGAAUUAAUUCCAGAGAUUUGCUGUACAAUACAUGUCUGUGGUCAACCAUACAAUUUUUAAGUGGGCACUUAAAAAUGUAUAAGAGGGUAGAUUUCAUGUUAAGUGUUUUUACCACAAUAAAACAAGAAAAACAAAAAGACACAA
This is a non-coding RNA of Macaca mulatta (Rhesus monkey), 4596 nucleotides long. The record is from RefSeq and is a predicted model, not a curated record. NCBI's taxonomy places the organism in Eukaryota, Metazoa, Chordata, Mammalia, Primates, Cercopithecidae.